Andrographis paniculata is the source of this 1292-nucleotide RNA transcript. RefSeq lists it as uncharacterized. Lineage: Eukaryota; Viridiplantae; Streptophyta; Magnoliopsida; Lamiales; Acanthaceae. The transcript has 5 exons. The record is from RefSeq and is a predicted model, not a curated record.
UAAAAAUAAAACCCUAAAUCAACCGCCCGGCGCCGCCGCCCUAAAACAACCCUAAAGAAACAACACGCACAGCCCCAAAACCCUAAAUCAACCGCCCACCGCCGCUCCUCUUCCACAUCCUCUCUUAUUAAAUCUUUGUUCUACCUCUCUACUCAUUCCUCCUCUCUUCUCUCCCUUCUUUUUUUUUUUUUUUUUUUUUUUUUUUUUUUUUUUUUUUAUCCGUCUUCGUUUUCUCCGGUUUCGGCUUCGUCUUCAUCGUCCCCUCCGACGUCGCCGUCGUCUUUGUCCGGCCGUCGUCUGCCAUCCGCUUGCUGUAAGGUGAAGCACCAUGGUAGGAUUUAAGAAUAGAUAUAUGGUGAUGGAGGUUUUCCUGGAUCCCAAUAAAGAUCUUUCGGCGGAUGACCCAAUUAUAAUCACUCAAUUCAAUUUAUCGAAAGCCGUCAAAGAUAGCAUUCUCUCAAACUUUGGGGAAUGUGGUCUAGCAUCGUCGACAAACUCAUUCCAAGUGAAGUAUGUGAAUCCACUUACAAAACUCUGUAUAUUCCAAACUUCAAGGGAGGAUUACCAGAAAGUAUGGGCAGCCGUUACCUUGGUUAGGACUAUUGGAAACUGUCAUGUGGUGUUCAACCUUCUUGACCUUAGUGCAUCAAGGCUUGCAAAACUGCUGCGUUGAAGUGUGAUGAGAUGAAAUUCGAACAAUAUAAAUUAUCAGCCGCAGAUCGCCUCCCUGCUGAUGCCCACCAAAGAAUGCAAAACUUUCUUGAGAAGAUAAAACACUUGGAGCAUUAAAACCAAAUGGAUCGAAGAAUUUAAGCAGCCUCUGUUUCGUAGCAUCUUCUCACACAGGAGCCGGGCUUUUGCCAAACAGAUGGAUAUUUUGCGGAUCAAACAGCGCAGAAUCAUACUGGUAAGUGCUCCGUUAGUCAAGAUUAAUUUCUUUAAAUCCCUUGUCACUACGCUUACAAAAAUGUUAUCUUUCCAGGCACAUGAUACCCCAAAUUGUCCCUCUCUUUGUUGUCUCCUCGGACAAAACACAAGAUCCGAGUAUUGCCUUAAAUCCGUUAAUGGAAGGCUUCUUCUCCAUCGGACAAAAAUCUUGUAGUGAGGCGAUUUCGAAGAAUUAAACACUAAAUCGACCCCCAAAAAUUUUGCUGUGUAUUCGACUGCCAGUAAGGUUAAUAGGCUUUGGUUGUUGGAAUUUUGUUAACGUAUCGACUCUUUUCGGGGUUGAUCUGAUUAGAGCAUUAGCAGGCCAUUGCAUCAUACCAAUUUGAAUCUGAGUAGAGAUAUUA